AACCAUUAAUACAAAAGACAUGGAGGAUCUAAUAGCUACAAGGAGGCAUGUUAUGCAGCUUCAGAGAGAGCAAUGCAACCGUAGGAUGGGCUUCCGUGGCAUAUAGAUGCACAUUUCAGAUUUUUAUCAUCCUGUAACAUUAGAUCUUGAUGGAAACCAAGUAGAGGAUGCUCAAGCCCAUAAAGUCCAAGCCCAACAAGGGGCCAAGCCCAUCAAGGAGCCCAAGCCCAACGAAUUACUAGGAGCAUGGCAAGAGCUUUGGAACAAGAGUAUAAUAAGAUGGCUCUUCUUAUUUCUUUUGUAGAAUAGGGGUCUGGAUGUAAUAAAAAAGGUGUAAGUAGUAAGGGAGUCUAGGGAGAGUGUAGAUAGGAGAUUAGGAGGUGCCAAACUAGGAAGGAAAGUCACACUUCCUUCAUUGUCUAGAUUGGCGCCGAAUUUCAUUACAUUUGUGAGUCAUUUAGCUUGCAUUUUCAGCACCUCAUAGGCUAUAAAUAAGGUGCUUCUCUUUGUAUUUUUCAGAUUGGAAUUUUAUAGUAGAGAGACUAUACUCAAAUUUGGAGAGAAAUUGUGAGUCUUGAGUCUUCUUCUUCCUUUGCCUUAUCUUGUGAGCUAUGGUGAGCUUCAAGUGGCGGCAUUCCAUCACUUAUCUUGGGUCAAGGAACCAAGUGGCGUGAAGUGUCUUCCAAUUCUUAAAAUCCAGCAAGCUUCUUCUAUAAGUGUUCUUCUUCCUUCAUGUUCUUUCAAUUUCAUUCGGCAAUUUUUAAUUUCCUAGUCUUUCCUUUCAUUUGCACCGUUUAAUUCUGUUUUUCCAGCUUUGUUUCUUUAUUUUGGUUCGGUUCAGUAGCUUAGUUUUUCAUUUCUGUCCAGUUUUCAAUUCUUGUUCUUCAUUCCUUGUGUUUUGAUUCCAUUUGACAAUAUAUGGACUUCCAUAUGAGUCUUGGUUGGUGCUAAGUCUUGGUGAGUUUUUGAAUUAGAACAUUGAUCCAAUUCUAAAGUAAGGUGUCAUUUAUGACCAACUCAAGUUGCUGCUAAGAAUGUCAAAGAAUGAUGUAUUUUUGUAGUUGCAUUCUCAUCAUAUCUUCACAAUAUUUUAUACCAACCUUCAUUGGAGGUGUUUGUCUUAUAAGGUUUGUUUUGAUUUUGAAUUAAAAAUCGUCAAAUCAGAUAAUAAAA
This 1173-nucleotide long non-coding RNA is filed under the name Phaseolus vulgaris (common bean). RNAcentral's name for it is "long non-coding RNA (PVUL_LNC003866)". Lineage: Eukaryota; Viridiplantae; Streptophyta; Magnoliopsida; Fabales; Fabaceae. The record is from RNAcentral.